UGGCCAAUAUGAUUUGUCUCCCACUUCUGUACUUGUAAUGAAGGAAAAAUAAUAUGAUUUGUGCUUAUCAUCCAUCUAUCAUCUGCAGCUAAAACACCUCCUCCAAUUAUACUUUCCAUACUGGAGGAAAAUAAUACCCAAACAACAUGUGUCUGCAGCAUAAUAAAAAUAGUAAUUUGUGUUUUCUUCUUCUCAUUCCGGAGC
This 204-nucleotide long non-coding RNA is filed under the name Elaeis guineensis (African oil palm). RNAcentral describes it as "long non-coding RNA (EGUI_LNC022454)". Lineage: Eukaryota; Viridiplantae; Streptophyta; Magnoliopsida; Arecales; Arecaceae. The record is from RNAcentral.